UGGAAUGCUAAAGAAAUGCGCAGUGUAGUUGCUAAGAAGUCAUUUUAAAUUUUAACUUGUUAUUAAGGUGACAAAUACAAAUAUCAAGCUUAAUUAACAGCUAAUUUACUUGCUCUCUUUAGGGAUGUACUUGCUUAUUCUACAGCUGCUGAUUUCAUUCUCUCAGAGAACCAGAAGAGAUUCAGUGAAGGCUGCACUUGAAUGAACACUGAUACGUCAUGCUUGCAUGCAGUAACACUGUGACAGAACACCUGUGUGUGCAGUACCCACGCAGCAAAAGGAGAGGAAUGGCAUCCAGCCCCUUCUCAUCCCCUGUGCGCCGUGAUGCCUCGUUUAGGAACUCAAUCACUUUAUCUUCUGGUAAGACAUCAGGAUUCCACAACAGCUGGUCAUCGUUCUC
RNAcentral lists this long non-coding RNA (400 nucleotides) under Gallus gallus (chicken). Lineage: Eukaryota; Metazoa; Chordata; Aves; Galliformes; Phasianidae. The record is from RNAcentral.